Long non-coding RNA from Ctenopharyngodon idella (grass carp), 603 nucleotides. RefSeq lists it as uncharacterized. The transcript is spliced from 3 exons. Lineage: Eukaryota; Metazoa; Chordata; Actinopteri; Cypriniformes; Xenocyprididae. The record is from RefSeq and is a predicted model, not a curated record.
UGUCAGUGUCCAGUGUUUCUACAGUUCUGGAUAUCAGUAUAAUCUCAAACAGUGGUGCAGAUAUAAAGAUCAGAGCUGUUACACAGUGGGGAGGACUGACACAUCCCAGAAACCAUCAGUCCAGAUCAGUGAUGAUGGGAGAAGCUCCUUCACUGUGCUGAUGACUGGACUGAGACUCAGUGAUUCUGGAUGGUACUUCUGCUCAGUACGAGAUCUGCAGGUUCCUGUUCAACUCAUUGUAAAUGAACCCAAACGUGCAGUGACAAAUAUUCCAACAGCUCCACCAUCUGACUCUGAGACAGACAUAUUGCGUUUCUGUCUGUCACAGAACUAGAGUUUUCUCCACAUCGACCUGAAAGAUCAGAUGAUUAUAAACUGCUGAUUCUGCUUUUGCUUUACACUCAGUCAGAAGACUAAAGAUCUGUUUGUAGAAUGUAUUACACGUCUACAUUUGCUAAAUGCCUAAAUGUAUGUAAUGUAUUUUUUUCUUCAAAUGCAGAGGAUGUGUAACCAUUUCUCUUUAAAUGAUUUUAUUUCUUUCAUCAAGUGACUUACAAAUGAGUAACAUACUAAAUAAAAUUACAUCAUUUGAAAAAGUGUUCA